Phlebotomus argentipes is the source of this 730-nucleotide RNA transcript. RefSeq lists it as uncharacterized. Lineage: Eukaryota; Metazoa; Arthropoda; Insecta; Diptera; Psychodidae. The record is from RefSeq and is a predicted model, not a curated record. The transcript has 3 exons.
UAGACAUGAAGUGCGAACUCUUGGUCACUCACUGAGUUCUAAUCCAAUUUAUUCAGUCAAUAUAGGCGUUCAGCGUAAGAGAAAGAGAGCCAAUGAUUGAAUCAGUGUCUGUGGUAAUUGUUGGUGAGAUAGGAGGCAUUUUAUGUGAAGGAGUGCAAAAGAAGAGCGAUCAGGAAGUGGGAAGAUAAGUAUGAACGCCACGGAAGGCAGUUCACUAGAUCAAUUCAUACGACUAGGUCAGAAGAGAAAUCGAGUUCCGCACCUCUUCUUCUCAUACAUGAAAAAUCAAACGACCACGACACCCUUUCCGGGUACAGUGGAUGGUAAUUCUAGUGAGAUUCUGGGCAUCCAGAGUGACGUAUCUGAUAUUCUGGAAGCGACCCAAGAAACGACAAAGGCUAUUUUGAUCCUGGGCAAAGAUAAAGUCACCAGAUUCUACAUUUGUAUCUCAAUUGCUCUUGGCAUCUCUGUCCUUAUUGCAAUUAUUGGAAUCACGGGGUUCUUUUUCUUCAAAAGACGGAGUAUUCGGGAGAUGGAGCUCCAAACAAGAAACGACUGGAGGAGAAAGUCCAGAGAUCAGAGUACGGAAACUAGUCCUCUAGCACACUGAUUACCGGUGUGCUGGUGCCCAGAGCACUAGUAUUCCCGAAAAAAGACAUGAUCCCUGAAGAAUACUAUCACGUGAAAUUUCACAGCGGCUCGAACUUCCUCGAUUCUUCCAAAAAAUGGG